UACAGAGGGUGCGAGCGUUAAUCGGAAUUACUGGGCGUAAAGGGCGUGUAGGCGGGUAUGUAAGUUGGAUGUGAAAGACUUGGGCUUAACCUGAGUAUGACGUUUAAUACUGUAUAUCUAGAGUGAAGUAGAGGGUAGUGGAAUUUCCGGUGUAGCGGUGAAAUGCGUAGAUAUCGGGAGGAACACCAGUGGCGAAGGCGGCUACCUGGACUUUUACUGACGCUGAGGCGCGAAAGCGUGGGGAGCGAAC
Molecule: ribosomal RNA, 250 nt
Filed under: uncultured bacterium
Lineage: Bacteria
Description: partial 16S ribosomal RNA
Rfam family: Bacterial small subunit ribosomal RNA
Source: RNAcentral